Molecule: long non-coding RNA, 400 nt
Filed under: Rattus norvegicus (Norway rat)
Lineage: Eukaryota; Metazoa; Chordata; Mammalia; Rodentia; Muridae
Description: long non-coding RNA NONRATT021981
Source: RNAcentral
UAAAAUGUGUGGCCAUUGUUCGCAUGAUGGAAUCCAAGCAUAAGAGGAGGAAGAAGGCCUGUUGCCCAAAAAUUGGCAGUAGCCACACAGACAUGAGAGUGUUGGAUCUCAUUCUGGAUGAAGCCCUGAGAAAGGCAAUCAAGGGCCACAAGAAGAAGAAAAAUUGCCACUCCAAGUAGGAGCAAGCCACCUGCCACAGGGAUGUCAGCAGCCUACCUCCCCGCCAGCCACCAGAGGGUGAAGGUAGACAACAGUAGGCCUGGCCAAGCAGUGUUCUGUGGUGACCCUUGAAGGCUAAUUGUAAUUGAAAGCAUUCUUUAAGUUACACAAUAAAAACACAAGUACAUUAUAUUCUUUCAAGUGCUCCGAAAUUUUAAAUAAAACUUUGAUAGUCCUCAAA